RNAcentral lists this transfer RNA (73 nucleotides) under Yersinia enterocolitica (type O:5,27) str. YE149/02. RNAcentral's name for it is "transfer RNA-Val". The stretch from base 1 to 52 matches the Rfam family "tRNA", at positions 21 to 71 of the family's 71-position model. From Rfam's summary of the family: Transfer RNA (tRNA) molecules are approximately 80 nucleotides in length. Their secondary structure includes four short double-helical elements and three loops (D, anti-codon, and T loops). The record is from RNAcentral. Lineage: Bacteria; Pseudomonadati; Pseudomonadota; Gammaproteobacteria; Enterobacterales; Yersiniaceae.
GAGCAUCUCCUUUACACGGAGGGGGUCAUCAGUUCGAAUCUGGUAUCGCCCACCACUUCUAUACUUUCAGAAU